Long non-coding RNA from Pseudopipra pipra, 1571 nucleotides. RefSeq lists it as uncharacterized. The record is from RefSeq and is a predicted model, not a curated record. Lineage: Eukaryota; Metazoa; Chordata; Aves; Passeriformes; Pipridae. The transcript is spliced from 2 exons.
AGGACAGACUUCCUGCCGCUGGCCAAGGCCAAGCCAAUCAAGAGUGAGAGUAACUCCCCUGUGAUAACACAUUUAAGAACAGAAGGUUGUGGCGCAGAAAGAAUUCCAGCCAAGGAAGAGCAAAGUGAGAGCAUGUGAGCAACUCUGCAGACACCAAGGUCAGUGCAGAAGGAGGGGAGGAGGUGCUCCAAGUGCCGGAGCUGAGGCCCCUGGAGCUCGUGCUGCAGACCAUGGUGGAGCAGCUGUGCCCCUGCAGCCCAUGGGGGACCAUCGGGGUGCAGAGACCCCCCUGCAGCCCAUGGAGGAGCCCGUGCUGGAGCAGGUGGAUAUCCGAAGGAGGCUGUGAACCUGUGGGAGGCCCAAGAUAGAGCAGGGUCCUGCCAGAGACCUGCAGCCCGUGGAGAGGGAAGCCCACGCUGGAGCAGGUUUUUCCCAGGUAGGACUUGUGGCCCCUGUGGGGGACCCACGUCGGUACAGCUCAUUCGUGAAGGACUGCACCCCAUGGAGGAGUGACCCACGGGACAGCAGUUUCAUGAAGAACUGUGAUGGUGAUAAGUAAGUGACCCCUCCCAGCUUUUAUCUCAACUCAUGAAUCUUUCGCUGUUUUUUUCUCUCCUCUGUCCAGUUGCAGAGGGGAGUGAGAGUAGUACUGCAGCUAUAGUGAGUACCUGGGGUCCAGCCAGGGUCAACCCACUACAUAAGGAAUUUGGCAGUGCUGGGAUUUUUUUCUCAAAUGGUAUAAAACCGAAUUUAAAAUAGGAAAAUAGUUUGCUAAAUUCUCCUCCGCCUAAGUGCAGCAAUUUUCCACAAACACAGCAAACUCUCACGAAGCGCAUGAAAGAACAAUCAAUACAUUAUGUAGGAAGAAAUAAAGCCUGAAAUUAGAACAGUUUUAUGGCAAAUAAUCCAGUUGAAAUCCCAGGAGUAUUGUUAAUGUAUGGCACUUUGUUUUGCUUUACUUUUCAAUGUGUUUAAAGGUGACUGUUCAGGAUGGAGAAUCUGAAGAGAUAAGAGUAUUAUAAAACUGCAAGAAUAGUUGACUUGCGUUACUGUAAACCUCAAAACAAUAAUGCAAUUAAUGACAAAUUGCCAGGAGACGUGUGCAGGAGUUCAAAAGGAGAUGCUCAAGGAAUCCUGAGUGUAGGCAGGCGCAGCAGACGAGGCCGCACGUAAGCAUACACGAUUAAGCCAAGUCUGAAAUCACACAACAAUGUCAAGCAACCUGGGAUGCACUUUUACCUAUGAACUACACCACAACAAGGCAAUUUGGAGAUUAUUCAGACUGGAGAUUAUUCAACUUUGGACCUCAUCACAACGCACACCACAGACAAGGUGACAAGCAUUUCAGCAGACUGACUGCCCCACAACAGCAGCUUCAGAGAACAACAGAUUCCACUGUACCCACACCGAAGGGAAGCAGAUGAUCUGGUACCUGGAAAUCAACCAUACAACACUGUACUACUACCAGGCUGCAAAACUAAACCACUAUUUCAAAAAUCCUUUCAGUUAAAUGCCUUUCAUUAAAAAAAAAAAAAAAAAAGACAAGAAUAAACCUUCUAAUCACAAUUCAA